CCCCGGCUAGCUCAGUCGGUAGAGCACGAGACUCUUAAUCUCGGGGACGUGGGUUCGAGUCCCGUGUUGGGCG
RNAcentral lists this transfer RNA (73 nucleotides) under Parasteatoda tepidariorum (common house spider). Its description in RNAcentral is "transfer RNA lysine (anticodon CUU)". It matches the Rfam family "tRNA". From Rfam's summary of the family: Transfer RNA (tRNA) molecules are approximately 80 nucleotides in length. Their secondary structure includes four short double-helical elements and three loops (D, anti-codon, and T loops). The record is from RNAcentral. Lineage: Eukaryota; Metazoa; Arthropoda; Arachnida; Araneae; Theridiidae.